AUGAACGCUGGCGGCGUGCCUAAUCCCUGCAAGUCGAGCGCACGGACGAGAAGCUUGCUUCUCUGAUGUUAGCGGCGGACGGGUGAGUAACACUUGGAUAACCUACCUAUAAGACUGGGAUAACUUCGGGAAACCGGAGCUAAUACCGGAUAAUAUUUUGAACCGCAUGGUUCAAAAGUGAAAGACGGUCUUGCUGUCACUUAUAGAUGGAUCCGCGCUGCAUUAGCUAGUUGGUAAGGUAACGGCUUACCAAGGCAACGAUGCAUAGCCGACCUGAGAGGGUGAUCGGCCACACUGGAACUGAGACACGGUCCAGACUCCUACGGGAGGCAGCAGUAGGGAAUCUUCCGCAAUGGGCGAAAGCCUGACGGAGCAACGCCGCGUGAGUGAUGAAGGUCUUCGGAUCGUAAAACUCUGUUAUUAGGGAAGAACAUAUGUGUAAGUAACUGUGCACAUCUUGACGGUACCUAAUCAGAAAGCCACGGCUAACUACGUG
Molecule: ribosomal RNA, 496 nt
Filed under: uncultured bacterium
Lineage: Bacteria
Description: partial 16S ribosomal RNA
Rfam family: Bacterial small subunit ribosomal RNA
Source: RNAcentral